Molecule: non-coding RNA, 100 nt
Organism: Chiloscyllium plagiosum (whitespotted bambooshark)
Lineage: Eukaryota; Metazoa; Chordata; Chondrichthyes; Orectolobiformes; Hemiscylliidae
Source: RefSeq, a predicted model, not a curated record
CCAUGUACAUGGAUCAUUCCGUCCUUUGCUGGAGCUUAUGAUCUGAAACUUAUGGAGCCACACUAGGGCUAGAAAACAUGUCUAAAUGCUGAUGUUACAG